AAACUCAAAGGAAUUGACGGGGACCUGCACAAGCAGCGGAGCGUGUGGUUUAAUUCGUUGCUACACGAAGACCUUACCUGGGUUUGACAUAUAGGUUGUAGGGAACUGAAAAGGGACCGACCUUCGGGGAGCCUAUACAGGUGUUGCAUGGCUGUCGUCAGCUCGUGUCGUGAGAUGUUCGGUUAAGUCCGCUAACGAGCGCAACCCUCGUCGUAUGUUAUAUGUGUCAUACGAGACUGCCGGUAAAAAGCCGGGGGAAGGUGAGGAUGGUGUCAAGUCAGCAUGACCUUUAUAUCCAGGGCUACACACACGCUACAAUGGUCUGUACAAUGGGUAGCCAAGCCGCGAGGCGGAGCCAAUCCUGAAAGCAGGCCUCAGUUCAGAUUGCAGUCUGCAACUCGACUGCAUGAAGCCGGAGUUGCUAGUAACCGCAGGUCAGCAAUACUGCGGUGAAUACGUUCCCGGGUCUU
Molecule: ribosomal RNA, 470 nt
Filed under: uncultured Anaerolineaceae bacterium
Lineage: Bacteria; Bacillati; Chloroflexota; Anaerolineae; Anaerolineales; Anaerolineaceae
Description: bacterial SSU rRNA
Rfam family: Bacterial small subunit ribosomal RNA
Source: RNAcentral